AAUGCUUGUAUGGAGUUGUUGCAUGAGCUUGAUUUUUCAUGAACAUGGGACUGCCGUCUUCGCGGACUUCCCACUCCCAAGUUAAGAGAUGACUUAAGUUGCCAUAUUUUAGGGCCUGACUGGUUGUGUUGCUAAUGCUAGGGUUGUGUUGCUAAUGCUAGGGUUGAUUGAAAACAAAGGUAUUAACUUAAUGAUAUUGAUUUGACAUUAAGUUCUGUAUGUUGUAUCAUUCUGAUUUCUGAAUUCCUUUGAUGGUCAGAGAAGGUGG
RNAcentral lists this unclassified non-coding RNA (268 nucleotides) under Hevea brasiliensis (rubber tree). The record is from RNAcentral. Lineage: Eukaryota; Viridiplantae; Streptophyta; Magnoliopsida; Malpighiales; Euphorbiaceae.